Molecule: ribosomal RNA, 252 nt
Filed under: uncultured prokaryote
Also listed under: 1 other name
Description: partial 16S ribosomal RNA
Rfam family: Bacterial small subunit ribosomal RNA
Source: RNAcentral
UACGUAGGGGGCGAGCGUUAUCCGGAUUCAUUGGGCGUAAAGCGCUCGUAGGCGGCCUGCUAGGUCGGGAGUCAAAUGCGGGGGCCCAACCCCCGGCCGCUCCCGAUACCGGCGGGCUUGAGUUUGGUAGGGGAAGGCGGAAUUCCCGGUGUAGCGGUGGAAUGCGCAGAUAUCGGGAAGAACACCGGUGGCGAAGGCGGCCUUCUGGGCCACAACUGACGCUGAGGAGCGAAAGCUGGGGGAGCGAACAGG